CUACGGGCGGCAGCAGUGGGGAAUAUUGCACAAUGGGCGCAAGCCUGAUGCAGCCAUGCCGCGUGUAUGAAGAAGGCCUUCGGGUUGUAAAGUACUUUCAGCGGGGAGGAAGGGAGUAAAGUUAAUACCUUUGCUCAUUGACAUUACCCGCAGAAGAAGCACCGGCUAAAUCCGUGCCAGCAGCCGCGGUAAUACGGAGGGUGCAAGCGUUAAUCGGAAUUACUGGGCGUAAAGCGCACGCAGGCGGUUUGUUAAGUCAGAUGUGAAAUCCCCGGGCUCAACCUGGGAACUGCAUCUGAUACUGGCAAGCUUGAGUCUCGUAGAGGGGGGUAGAAUUCCAGGUGUAGCGGUGAAAUGCGUAGAGAUCUGGAGGAAUACCGGUGGCGAAGGCGGCCCCCUGGACGAAGACUGACGCUCAGGUGCGAAAGCGUGGGGAGCAAACAGGAUUAGAUACCCGGGUAGUC
Molecule: ribosomal RNA, 464 nt
Filed under: uncultured bacterium
Lineage: Bacteria
Description: partial 16S ribosomal RNA
Rfam family: Bacterial small subunit ribosomal RNA
Source: RNAcentral